GCAGAAUGGCUUCGGAAAGGUGAUAGAAAAUUCACGCGCAAGGUAUUGUUUGAAGUGAUCCGUUUUACCGACUUCUAAGUGUGAAGAGGUGGACAGCCUGGCGAGCGAGAUUUGGAGGAGGGGUUCGUUCUCUUCCUGCAGAAAAUAAAAACAUUCCCAGCUGCACCAAGAAAAACUUUGACAUUUGAAGCUU
Molecule: non-coding RNA, 193 nt
Organism: Lepisosteus oculatus (spotted gar)
Lineage: Eukaryota; Metazoa; Chordata; Actinopteri; Semionotiformes; Lepisosteidae
Source: RefSeq, a predicted model, not a curated record